GACAGAGGUGCCGAGCGUUAGGCGGAAUCACUGGGCUUAAAGCGUGUGUAGGCGGGUCGUUAAGUGCCUUGUGAAAUCCCACCGCUCACCGGUGGAACUGCUUGGCAUACUGGCGAUCUUGAGCCACUUAGGGGCAACCGGAACAAACGGUGGAGCGGUGAAAUGCGCAGAUAUCAGGAGGAACACCGAUGGCGAAGGCAGGUCUCUGGGCAUUAACUGACGCUGAGGAGCGAAAGCAUGGGGAGCGAACAGG
This 253-nucleotide ribosomal RNA is filed under the name uncultured bacterium. Its description in RNAcentral is "partial 16S ribosomal RNA". It matches the Rfam family "Bacterial small subunit ribosomal RNA", at positions 524 to 776 of the family's 1533-position model. The record is from RNAcentral.